GCCCCGAUAGUCCAAUAGGUAGAGACGAUGGAUUCAAAAUCCAUAAAGUGUGGGUUCGAAUCCCACUCGGGGUACAA
Molecule: transfer RNA, 77 nt
Filed under: Marinitenerispora sediminis
Lineage: Bacteria; Bacillati; Actinomycetota; Actinomycetes; Streptosporangiales; Nocardiopsidaceae
Description: Marinateneraspora sediminis tRNA-Leu
Rfam family: tRNA
About the family: Transfer RNA (tRNA) molecules are approximately 80 nucleotides in length. Their secondary structure includes four short double-helical elements and three loops (D, anti-codon, and T loops).
Source: RNAcentral